RNAcentral lists this ribosomal RNA (476 nucleotides) under uncultured bacterium. Its description in RNAcentral is "bacterial SSU rRNA". It matches the Rfam family "Bacterial small subunit ribosomal RNA", at positions 32 to 507 of the family's 1533-position model. The record is from RNAcentral.
AACGCUGGCGGCGUGCCUAACACAUGCAAGUCAACUUGACUGAAGGAGCAAUCUGACAGUAGAGUGGCGCAAGGGUGCGUAACGCGUAAGUAACUUGCCCCAAGGUAAGGAAUAACGUCGAGAAAUCGGCGCUAAUACCUCAUAAUGCAGCGGAUCCGCAUGGAUAUGUUGUUAAAGGUUUACCGCCUUGGGAUAGGCUUGCGUCUGAUUAGCUAGUUGGUGUGGUAACGGCACACCAAGGCUACGAUCAGUAACUGGUCUGAGAGGAUGAUCAGUCACACUGGAACUGAGACACGGUCCAGACUCCUACGGGAGGCAGCAGUGAGGAAUAUUGGGCAAUGCUCGAAAGAGUGACCCAGCAACGCCGCGUGGAGGAUGAAGGUAUUCUAUAUCGUAAACUCCUGUGAGAGCAGACGAAAGACAGAUUAUUAAUCUGGAUGACUGUAUGCUCAGAGGAAGCCCCGGCUAACUACGUG